UCUCCCAGCGCCAAGGUCCGGAUCCUGAGCCCAUUGCUAAGCGUCCGCCCAGCUCUUUAGACUUCCUUGCUUUAGGAUUUCUACUGGCCACAGACCUACGGAGAAGGCCCGUGGGAGACCCUGAAGCCACGCAAUGGUGAGGCUGUGAGGACUGCUUUCUUAAACAAGAGUGAUUUACCAAGACUGGCAGCGUCUACUUGGUUACUCUAUUCAACAGGCAUUGAGUUGAAUAACACAUACCCCCUGUGACUUAUUAUAAUGGAGAAGUGGAAGCAAAUAAAAGCUUUGGUUUUUCCAACAUUAUCUAAUGAAUCGAACUCAAGACCUUGCGCUUGCUGGGCAGGCUCUGUGCUGCUGAGCUACAUCUCUGGCCUUAUUCUUUGAUUAAAUUAAGAACUUACAAACAGCUGUAUAAAAAUGACUUUUUCCCAGAAAACUGGAUACAAACAGUUUAAAAAUAAAAGUUUAUGAAGUUUUCCCACCUCAA
Long non-coding RNA from Chinchilla lanigera (long-tailed chinchilla), 487 nucleotides. RefSeq lists it as uncharacterized. NCBI's taxonomy places the organism in Eukaryota, Metazoa, Chordata, Mammalia, Rodentia, Chinchillidae. The transcript is spliced from 3 exons. The record is from RefSeq and is a predicted model, not a curated record.